RNAcentral lists this long non-coding RNA (231 nucleotides) under Phaseolus vulgaris (common bean). RNAcentral describes it as "long non-coding RNA (PVUL_LNC000040)". Lineage: Eukaryota; Viridiplantae; Streptophyta; Magnoliopsida; Fabales; Fabaceae. The record is from RNAcentral.
GCCGAUCCAUAUAAAACAUGACCUCCACACUUUCUGGGCGAAGGGGCAUUCUAAGAAGAUGUGUUGGCAGGAUUCCUCCUUUGUUUGACAAAACUCACAUAAGAUUGUGUUAAGCAACACUCCUCUCCUCCUCAAAUCAACUCUGGUUGGGAUCCUACCUAGGAGGACUCUCCAAGCAGUUGUUAUUGUAUUGGGGAAGGCUUUGAUUCUCCACAGAUGCUCAAAAACUUC